GAUGAACGCUGGCGGCGUGCCUAAUACAUGCAAGUCGAGCGAACAGACGGGGAGCUUGCUCCUCUGACGUUAGCGGCGGACGGGUGAGUAACACGUGGAUCAGCUACCUAUUAGACUGGGAUAACUUCGGGAAACCGGUGCUGAUAACGGAUAAUAUAUUCAACCGCAUGGUUCAAUAGUGCAUGAGGGUUUUGGUGAUUCUAUUAGAUGGAUCCGCGCCGCAUUAGCUAGUUGGUAAGGUAACGGCCUACCAAGGCAACGAUGCGUAGCCGACCUGAGAGGGUGAUCGGCCACACUGGAACUGAGACACGGUCCAGACUCCUACGGGAGGCAGCAGUAGGGAAUCUUCCGCAAUGGGCGAAAGCCUGACGGAGCAACGCCGCGUGAGUGAUGAAGGUCUUCGGAUCGUAAAACUCUGUUAUUAGGGAAGAACAAAUGUGUAAGUAACUAUGCACGUCUUGACGGUACCUAAUCAGAAAGCCCCGGCUAACUACGUG
Molecule: ribosomal RNA, 497 nt
Filed under: uncultured bacterium
Lineage: Bacteria
Description: partial 16S ribosomal RNA
Rfam family: Bacterial small subunit ribosomal RNA
Source: RNAcentral